GUCAGGGAGAAGCUAUAAAGAUUGACAAAAUACUUCCAAGGGAGCCUAAGAGUGGUGUAUUCAAUGGUCUUUGUCAUUUGGGCAAACCAAAACAAAAGAGGAGCAAAAGAUCAAGACAUUGUAAUUU
Long non-coding RNA from Ipomoea nil (Japanese morning glory), 127 nucleotides. RefSeq lists it as uncharacterized. The transcript has 3 exons. The record is from RefSeq and is a predicted model, not a curated record. Lineage: Eukaryota; Viridiplantae; Streptophyta; Magnoliopsida; Solanales; Convolvulaceae.